Molecule: non-coding RNA, 45 nt
Filed under: Schistosoma curassoni
Lineage: Eukaryota; Metazoa; Platyhelminthes; Trematoda; Strigeidida; Schistosomatidae
Source: RNAcentral
AUUCAGUUGACGAGUCCCAAAUAGGACGAAACGUCCUUCCUAAAU